GCUAGUUUUAAAGUUAAAAAUUUGUUAGAUUAGUCGGGCAACCUGCGGUGUAAACUACUUUCCAUAGUAAAACUGACGUUCAUGUACAAAAGUAUGGGGAUUAAAUAGGAUUAGAGACCCUAGUAGUCCAUACCCUGACCUAUGAGUGUUAAAUGGGAGAUAAAAUUAUUAACAUCUUCGUGUUUCAGCUAACGCGGAAACACUCCGCCUGGGGACUACGGUCGCAAGAUUAAAACUCAAAAGGAAUUGACGGAGAUCAGUACGUGCGGUGGAACAUGUGAUUUAAUGCGUCAAUACGCGCAAACCUUACCCUAUCUUGUUCCUUUCCUACCAAACCGAUUUAUAUAUGUUGAUUAUAAACCAAAUUAUAAAGUGGGAAAGAGAUCAGGUGUUGCAUGGUUGUCUUAAGUCCGUGCUGAUGAGUGUUCGGUUAAUUCCCUGAACGGACGGAACCCUUAGCUUUAAUUACUUGUUUUUUUUUAUUAA
This 486-nucleotide ribosomal RNA is filed under the name uncultured bacterium. RNAcentral's name for it is "bacterial SSU rRNA". It matches the Rfam family "Bacterial small subunit ribosomal RNA", at positions 669 to 1133 of the family's 1533-position model. The record is from RNAcentral.